GAUGAACGCUGGCGGCGUGCCUAAUACAUGCAAGUCGAGCGAACAGACGAGGAGCUUGCUCCUCUGACGUUAGCGGCGGACGGGUGAGUAACACGUGGAUAACCUACCUAUAAGACUGGGAUAACUUCGGGAAACCGGAGCUAAUACCGGAUAAUAUAUUGAACCGCAUGGUUCAAUAGUGAAAGACGGUUUUGCUGUCACUUAUAGAUGGAUCCGCUCCGCAUUAGCUAGUUGGUAAGGUAACGGCUUACCAAGGCAACGAUGCGUAGCCGACCUGAGAGGGUGAUCGGCCACACUGGAACUGGGAAACGUUCCAGAGCCAUACGGGAGGCAGCAGUAUGGAAUCUUCCGCAAUGGGCGAAAGCCUGACGGAGCAACGCCGCGUGAGGGAUGAAGAUCUUCGGAUCGUAAAACUCUGUUAUCAGGGAAGAACAAAAGUGUAAGUAACUAUGCACGUCUUGACGGUACCGAAUCAGAAAGCCACGGCUAACUACGUG
This 497-nucleotide ribosomal RNA is filed under the name uncultured bacterium. RNAcentral's name for it is "partial 16S ribosomal RNA". It matches the Rfam family "Bacterial small subunit ribosomal RNA", at positions 28 to 507 of the family's 1533-position model. The record is from RNAcentral.